UACGAGCGCACCCUUGUCCUUAGUUGCCAGCAUUUCGGAUGGGAACUCUAAGGAGACUGCCGGUGAUAAACCGGAGGAAGGUGGGGAUGACGUCAAGUCAUCAUGGCCCUUAUGGGCUGGGCUACACACGUGCUACAAUGGUCGGUACAGAGGGUUGCAAAGCGGCGACGUGGAGCUAAUCUCAGAAAACCGGUCGUAGUCCGGAUUGCAGUCUGCAACUCGACUGCAUGAAGUCGGA
Molecule: ribosomal RNA, 238 nt
Filed under: Marichromatium sp. JA550
Lineage: Bacteria; Pseudomonadati; Pseudomonadota; Gammaproteobacteria; Chromatiales; Chromatiaceae
Description: partial 16S ribosomal RNA
Rfam family: Bacterial small subunit ribosomal RNA
Source: RNAcentral